This 405-nucleotide ribosomal RNA is filed under the name uncultured bacterium. RNAcentral describes it as "partial 16S ribosomal RNA". It matches the Rfam family "Bacterial small subunit ribosomal RNA", at positions 28 to 526 of the family's 1533-position model. The record is from RNAcentral.
GACGAACGCUGGCGGCGUGCUUAACACAUGCAAGUCGAGCGGAGCGGCGAACGGGUGAGUAACGCGUGAGUAACUGCCCCCCUCUCUGGGAUAACAGUUGGAAACGGCUGCUAAUACCGGAUAGUGGGGGAUGACUCGCGGCCUAUCAGCUUGUUGGGGGGGUAGUGGCCUACCACGGCGAGGACAGGUAGCCGGCCUGGGAGGGCGACCGGCCACAUUGGGCUACGAUAGGGCCCAAACUGCAACGGGAGGCAGCGGGGGGGAAUAUUGCACAAUGGGGGAACCGCUGAUGCAGCAACGCCGCGUGCGGGAUGACGGCCUUCGGGUUGUAAACCGCUUUCGGCCAUGACGCGGUAGUGGCAGAAGAAGCACCGGCUAACUACGUGCCAGCAGCCGCGGUAAUAC